This is a small nuclear RNA of 159 nucleotides. Its record names the gene U1. It matches the Rfam family "U1 spliceosomal RNA". Rfam says of the family: U1 is a small nuclear RNA (snRNA) component of the spliceosome (involved in pre-mRNA splicing). Its 5' end forms complementary base pairs with the 5' splice junction, thus defining the 5' donor site of an intron. The record is from Ensembl.
UUACUUACCUGGCAGGGGAGAUACCGCGAUCAAGAAGGCGGUUCACCCAGGGCCGAGGCCAUUGCACUUCGGCUGUGCUGACCCCUGCAAAUUCCCCAAAUGUGGGAAUCUCGACUGCAUAAUUUCUGGGGUGGUAGUAGCCUAGUGGGUGACACACUC